RNAcentral lists this ribosomal RNA (786 nucleotides) under Triticum aestivum (bread wheat). Its description in RNAcentral is "partial small subunit ribosomal RNA". Lineage: Eukaryota; Viridiplantae; Streptophyta; Magnoliopsida; Poales; Poaceae. The record is from RNAcentral.
AUGGCCAUGGUGCAGUCGGUAGCGCGGCGCGGCGCGAGGUCGGUGGCGACGGCCCAGCUAGGGAUGCACCUCUUCUCCGUGUCCUGCUGCUCACCGGCGGCGCUCGGCGUCGGCACCGCGCGCACGGCUGCCACGUUAAAGAAAGGGGAGAAGGAGGCGGCAAGCUACUGGGGCGUGGCUCCGGCGAGGCUCGUCAAGGAGGACGGCACCGAGUGGAAGUGGCCGUGCUUCAGGCCGUGGGAUGCGUACGAGGCGGACGUGUCCAUCGAUCUGAAGAAGCAGUGGCGUACCCAAGGGGUGUGCCAGAAGCACCACCGGCCGGCCACGUUGGGGGACAAGGUGGCCUUGUGGACUGUCAAGGCGAUGCGCUGGCCCACCGACCUCUUCUUCCAGUCGCUCCGGCGCUUCGAGCAGAGCGGCGGGUGGAUCCGUCCACUGCUAGAGGAGGCCGAGAACGAGCGCAUGCACCUCAUGACCUUCAUGGAGGUGUCCCAGCCGCGGUGGUACGAGCGCGCGCUCGUGGUCGCCGUCCAGGGCGUCUUCUUCCACGCCUACCUCGCCACCUACCUCGCCUCCCCAAAGGUCGCGCACCGCAUGGUGGGGUACCUGGAGGAGGAGGCCGUGCACUCCUACACCGAGUUCCUUCGUGACCUCGAGGCCGGCAAGAUCGACGACGUGCCCGCGCCGACGAGGCGCACCACCGGGACGUCAAACCACUACGCCUCCGACAUACAUUGCCAGGGGCAUGCACUGCGAGAGGUAGCUGCGCCGAUCGGCUACCACUGA